UACGUAGGGGGCAAGCGUUAUCCGGAUUUACUGGGUGUAAAGGGAGCGUAGACGGCAAGGCAAGUCUGAAGUGAAAGCCCGGGGCUCAACUCCGGGACUGCUUUGGAAACUGUUUAGCUAGAGUGCAGGAGGGGCGAGUGGAAUUCCUAGUGUAGCGGUGAAAUGCGUAGAUAUUAGGAGGAACACCGGUGGCGAAGGCGGCCCGCUGGACUGUAACUGACGUUGAGGCUCGAAAGCGUGGGGAG
RNAcentral lists this ribosomal RNA (245 nucleotides) under uncultured Lachnospiraceae bacterium. RNAcentral describes it as "partial 16S ribosomal RNA". It matches the Rfam family "Bacterial small subunit ribosomal RNA", at positions 524 to 768 of the family's 1533-position model. Lineage: Bacteria; Bacillati; Bacillota; Clostridia; Lachnospirales; Lachnospiraceae. The record is from RNAcentral.